CCUCCUUUCUAAGGAAAUCGAAAAAUAUGAAAACAAUUAUUUUCGAUUUAAAAAAAAUCGGUUAAUGUGACCGUCCUCAUUUCUCUUCUUUUAUAAUGUCUCUGAGUAAAAAUGUGAAGGGCCGGUAGCUCAGGUGGUUAGAGCGCACCCCUGAUAAGGGUGAGGUCGGAAGUUCGAGUCUUCCUCGGCCCACCAAUAUUAUGGGGGAUUAGCUCAGCUGGGAGAGCGCCUGAUUUGCAUUCAGGAGGUCAGCGGUUCGAUCCCGCUAUCCUCCACCAACGAAUUGAGACAUUUAGCUUUUUAAAUGGUGAAUAUUAUUAUUAUCAAUAUCUAUAUCCGAUUGUUUUCAGAUAUUUUUUUGAAAACAAUCAAAACAAAAAUUUGAAUUUUACACAGAAAAUUUUUUUCUGUGCAUAAAUCAAGCGUUUAAGGGCGUUUGGCGGAUGCCUGGGCACUGAAAGACGAUGAAGGA
Molecule: transfer RNA, 472 nt
Filed under: uncultured Pelagibacterales bacterium
Lineage: Bacteria; Pseudomonadati; Pseudomonadota; Alphaproteobacteria; Candidatus Pelagibacterales
Description: partial 16S-23S ribosomal RNA intergenic spacer
Rfam family: tRNA (bases 119-192)
Source: RNAcentral